This 441-nucleotide ribosomal RNA is filed under the name uncultured bacterium. Its description in RNAcentral is "partial 16S ribosomal RNA". It matches the Rfam family "Bacterial small subunit ribosomal RNA", at positions 338 to 795 of the family's 1533-position model. The record is from RNAcentral.
CCUACGGGAGGCAGCAGUGGGGGAUAUUGCACAAUGGGGGGAACCCUGAUGCAGCGACGCCGCGUGGGUGAAGGAGUGCUUCGGUAUGUAAAGCCCUAUCGGCAGGGAAGAAGCAAGACGGUACCUGACUAAGAAGCCCCGGCUAACUACGUGCCAGCAGCCGCGGUAAUACGUAGGGGGCGAGCGUUAUCCGGAUUCACUGGGUGUAAAGGGAGCGUAGACGGCCAUGCAAGCCAGGGGUGAAAGCCCGGGGCCCAACCCCGGGACUGCCCUUGGAACUGCAUGGCUGGAGUGCGGGAGGGGCAGGCGGAAUUCCUGGUGUAGCGGUGAAAUGCGUAGAUAUCAGGAGGAACACCGGCGGCGAAGGCGGCCUGCUGGACCGCGACUGACGUUGAGGCUCGAAAGCGUGGGGAGCGAACAGGAUUAGAUACCCCAGUAGUC